This 485-nucleotide ribosomal RNA is filed under the name uncultured bacterium. RNAcentral describes it as "partial 16S ribosomal RNA". It matches the Rfam family "Bacterial small subunit ribosomal RNA", at positions 29 to 523 of the family's 1533-position model. The record is from RNAcentral.
AGUGAACGCUGGCGGCGUGCUUAACACAUGCAAGUCGAACGAGAACGGAAUAUAGCUUGCUAUAUUUGUCAGCUAAGUGGCGCACGGGUGAGUAAUGUAUAGAUAACCUGCCCUUAAGAAAGGAAUCACAGUUGGAAACGACUGCUAAUGCCCUAUAUGCCUUUAAUACAUAAGUAUGCAAGGGAAACGCUUUAGUGCUUAAGGAUGGGUCUGUAUGGUAUAAGCUUGUUGGUGAGGUAAUGGCUCACCAAGGCUAUGACGCCUAACUGGUUUGAGAGGAUGAUCAGUCACACUGGAACUGAGACACGGUCCAGACUCCUACGGGAGGCAGCAGUGGGGAAUAUUGCACAACGGACGAAAGUCUGAUGCAGCAACGCCGCGUGGAGGAUGACACAUUUCGGUGCGUAAACUCCUUUUAUAUAGGAAGAUAAUGACGGUACUAUAUGAAUAAGCACCGGCUAACUCCGUGCCAGCAGCCGCCGUAA